GACAGAGGGUGCAAGCGUUGUUCGGAAUUAUUGGGCGUAAAGCGCGCGUAGGCGGCUUGGUAAGUCGAAUGUGAAAGCCCAUGGCUUAACCAUGGAAGUGCAUUCGAAACUGCUUGGCUAGAGUAUCGGAGAGGGUGGUGGAAUUCCCAGUGUAGAGGUGAAAUUCGUAGAUAUUGGGAGGAACACCAGUGGCGAAGGCGACCGCCUGGACGAUUACUGACGCUGAGGCGCGAGAGCGUGGGGAGCAAACAGG
Molecule: ribosomal RNA, 253 nt
Filed under: uncultured bacterium
Lineage: Bacteria
Description: partial 16S ribosomal RNA
Rfam family: Bacterial small subunit ribosomal RNA
Source: RNAcentral